This 327-nucleotide ribosomal RNA is filed under the name Triticum aestivum (bread wheat). Its description in RNAcentral is "partial small subunit ribosomal RNA". The record is from RNAcentral. Lineage: Eukaryota; Viridiplantae; Streptophyta; Magnoliopsida; Poales; Poaceae.
AUGAAAGGUCUAACUUGGGAUUUGCAUCUCCGGAGUCAAGCUUCGAUUCAACACCCUCGGCCUCGAACAAAUGGUUGGCAUCACAGGCGUUUUAGGUGCCAAGGCAGUGCUUGGGAGGAGAGCGGGCGGGUUGGCUGGCAUGGCAGGGUUUUCCGAGAGUUGGGUCAGCAGGAAGAUCAAGGAAGAGAUCUGCAAUGGUGGCUCAAGGAAGGUUGGCUGGCAAAAGGGAACAUGUUUUCAUCAAAGAUUACGUGCCGUGAGAUGUGUGCGCGUUGGGGUGGAGAGAUCAAAGACAACAAUAGCUUUGUGAUCGCUAGGAUAGCCUAA